This 77-nucleotide transfer RNA is filed under the name Micromonospora carbonacea. Its description in RNAcentral is "tRNA-Ile". It matches the Rfam family "tRNA". From Rfam's summary of the family: Transfer RNA (tRNA) molecules are approximately 80 nucleotides in length. Their secondary structure includes four short double-helical elements and three loops (D, anti-codon, and T loops). Further hydrogen bonds mediate the characteristic L-shaped molecular structure. tRNAs have two regions of fundamental functional importance: the anti-codon, which is responsible for specific mRNA codon recognition, and the 3' end, to which the tRNAs corresponding amino acid is attached (by aminoacyl-tRNA synthetases). tRNAs cope with the degeneracy of the genetic code in two manners: having more than one tRNA (with a specific anti-codon) for a particular amino acid; and 'wobble' base-pairing, i.e. permitting non-standard base-pairing at the 3rd anti-codon position. RNAcentral also lists the same sequence under 5 other names. The record is from RNAcentral. Lineage: Bacteria; Bacillati; Actinomycetota; Actinomycetes; Micromonosporales; Micromonosporaceae.
GGGGCGGUAGCUCAGCGGGUUAGAGCAGGGGACUCAUAAUCCCUCGGUCACGGGUUCGAGUCCCGUCCGCCCCACCA